CAUGGAGCUCCUUUUAGUCCUCUUUCAUGUUCAUCAAGAAAUUCUUAGAAAGAAAAUGGGAGGAGAGAAGGAAAAGAAAUGAGAAGCCAAUAGGCUGUAGAUAAAAGGAAGAGAGACAGAGCAAGAGCAAGAGAGAGACUGUGGGAAAUGAAAGUCAGAGGAGAGGAAGCAGGAGAGAGGGCGAGAAGGGAAAGACAGGCAGAAAGGCAGAAAGACGGAUAGAGGCAAAGAAGGAAGAGGAAUGAAUGGAGAAAGGGGAAGGAAGCAGAAAGCAAUGAAUGAGAAAGGGAGCAGACAGAGAAGUAGGUGGAGAAAAUGAAAAAAUGGAGUGAAAGGAGAGAAGAAUUUUAAACAGAAUCUAUGGCUCCAUUUCCUCAGGCUGCUCAUUAGGAUUCUGGCAGCCUUUUCUGAAUAUCAGCUAGCUCUAACCUGAACAUCAAUUUGUCCAGAUUUGGGCUAGAAUUAAAUCUGCAACCUUAUUAGGUGCUAGCACAGUGUGGCUGGCUGUCCCACACCUCACACAAAGUAGUAGGGACUGAUAGGGACAGGAAGUCCCGUGUUCUCCUACACAAGCAGCAGGCCAAGAAUGGAAUCUUCAGCUCAUGACUGCUCAAAAAUAGGUACCUUAUUCACUCACACAGUUUGUUUUGUAUUUUUAACCAUUUCAUCAAAAGGUAAGGGUGGGGGGCCGGUUGUUUUUUAAUGAACCAAGAAUGAGGAUGAGAAAUUACUUAAUGGGUAUAACGUAUACUAUUCAGGUGACAGCCACACUAAAAGCCCAGACUCCACCACUACCCGAUAUACCCAUGUAACAAAACUGCAGUUUUGCCCCUUACAUUUAUACAAAUAAAAAACAGGCUGGGCACGGUGGCUCAUGUCUGUAAUCCCAGCACUUUGGGAGGCCAAGGCAGGUGAAUCGCUUGAGCUCAGGAGUUCAAGACCAGCCUGGGCAACAUGAUGAAACCCCAUCUCUACCAAAAACACAAAAAGUUAGCCAGGUGUACUGAGAGGCUAAGGUGGGAGGAUCACCUGAGCCUGUGAGGUCGAGGCUGCAGUGAGCUGUGAUCACACCACCACCACUCCAGCCUGGGUGACAGAGUGAGACCGUAUCUCAAAACCAACAACAACGAAGAAUGGGGAAAGGAUUUUAGACAUUUUUAUUUAGGGAUCUAAUAUUCCUGACUAAAUCCAAGGAUUCUCUCUGAAAGUCAGGGACAUUCUCUUCAGAAGGCGUGGUGUAAAGAGAUGGAUAGGUAGAAUCUCUUCCUAUAAUCCUCUUGCAGCUAAUUGCCAGACAAUUUACAUGAGCAUGUAUAACAGUAUCUGUAGAAAGUAAAUACAUGAUCCUGGAUAUUUGUGUACCAGAAGGGAGUGAAAUGCAUGGUUAAGAGCACAAAUUUUGGUAUCAAACAACCUGAGUUCAGUUCUCAGUUCUGCUUCUAAGUAUGGGAGUGAAUUUAGGGGCAUAAGGCCCAUGUUCUGGAAGAAUCUAGGAAGCAGCUGGAUGGGCAUUAAGGAAUUAAACUCUUGAAUGCCCCUUGA
RNAcentral lists this long non-coding RNA (1542 nucleotides) under Macaca mulatta (Rhesus monkey). Its description in RNAcentral is "lncRNA (ENSMMUG00000055130.1)". The record is from RNAcentral. Lineage: Eukaryota; Metazoa; Chordata; Mammalia; Primates; Cercopithecidae.